RNAcentral lists this non-coding RNA (183 nucleotides) under Agathobacter sp. RNAcentral describes it as "6S RNA". It matches the Rfam family "6S / SsrS RNA". Rfam says of the family: E. coli 6S RNA was the first non coding RNA to be sequenced, but its function was unknown until recently. Lineage: Bacteria; Bacillati; Bacillota; Clostridia; Lachnospirales; Lachnospiraceae. The record is from RNAcentral.
GAGAACCUGGAAUGUUCGAAGCUUCCGGUAUUUUGAACCUACAGUACUUUAAACGGGAUUCCUAUAUCUCUGUAAUAUGUCAGGCCUCCGAUGAUUUGUAGUGGAAGACAAAAAAGCAGAUGCGGUCACCCACCUAGCAAUAGCUAGGAGUCAAAAUACGGAAAACGGCAUUUUGGGGGUUAA